UACGUAGGGUGCGAGCGUUAAUCGGAAUUACUGGGCGUAAAGCGUGCGCAGGCGGUUCGUUAAGUCAGAUGUGAAAGCCCUGGGCUCAACCUGGGAAUGGCAUUGGAUACUGGCGAUCUAGAGUGCGGUAGAGGGCAGUGGAAUUCCCGGUGUAGCAGUGAAAUGCGUAGAGAUCGGGAGGAACAUCUGUGGCGAAGGCGACUGCCUGGACCAGCACUGACACUGAGGCACGAAAGCGUGGGGAGCAAACAGG
RNAcentral lists this ribosomal RNA (253 nucleotides) under uncultured bacterium. RNAcentral's name for it is "partial 16S ribosomal RNA". It matches the Rfam family "Bacterial small subunit ribosomal RNA", at positions 524 to 776 of the family's 1533-position model. The record is from RNAcentral.